GUGCUCACUUGAGCAGCACAUAUACUAAAAUUUGAACAACACAGAGAGGAUUAGCAUGGCCCCCGCACAAAGAUGACACACAACUUCAUGAAACAUUUAAAAAAAGA
Small nuclear RNA from Mustela lutreola (European mink), 107 nucleotides. The record is from RefSeq and is a predicted model, not a curated record. NCBI's taxonomy places the organism in Eukaryota, Metazoa, Chordata, Mammalia, Carnivora, Mustelidae.